RNAcentral lists this ribosomal RNA (273 nucleotides) under uncultured bacterium. Its description in RNAcentral is "partial 16S ribosomal RNA". It matches the Rfam family "Bacterial small subunit ribosomal RNA", at positions 82 to 354 of the family's 1533-position model. The record is from RNAcentral.
CUUCCGCCGGCGACCGGUGCACGGGUGAGUAACACGUAUGCAACCUGCCCCUGUCAGGGGGACAACCCGCCGAAAGGCGGGCUAAACCCGCGUACAUGCCACCGGGGCAUCCCGGAGGCAGGAAAGGCUUCGGCCGGACAGGGAUGGGCAUGCGGCGCAUUAGGCAGUAGGCGGGGUAACGGCCCACCUAACCGACGAUGCGUAGGGGUUCUGAGAGGAAGGUCCCCCACACUGGUACUGAGACACGGACCAGACUCCUACGGGAGGCAGCAG